UACGGAGGAUCCGAGCGUUAUCCGGAUUUAUUGGGUUUAAAGGGUGCGUAGGCGGGCCGGUAAGUCAGCGGUGAAAUCCCAUGGCUCAACCAUGGAAUUGCCGUUGAAACUGUCGGUCUUGAAUAUGGUCAAGGUAGGCGGAAUGCGUAAUGUAGCGGUGAAAUGCUUAGAUAUUACGCGGAACACCUAUUGCGAAGGCAGCUUGCUGGGCCAGUAUUGACGCUGAGGCACGAAAGCGUGGGGAGCGAACAGGAUUAGAUACCCUGGUA
RNAcentral lists this ribosomal RNA (269 nucleotides) under uncultured prokaryote. RNAcentral's name for it is "partial 16S ribosomal RNA". It matches the Rfam family "Bacterial small subunit ribosomal RNA", at positions 524 to 792 of the family's 1533-position model. The record is from RNAcentral.